AUGAAAAUCCUAGUGUGGAACUGUCACGGGAUGCGUAAGCCCACGGCAGUUCGUGCGCUCUUGGGGAUCCAAGAGCGAUUAAAACCAGAUGUGUUGUUCCUGUCUGAAACACACCUGGAUAUGGCUAAGGCAGGGAAGUUGAAAAGGAGAUUAGGUUUUGAUGAGAUGGAAGUUUCAGAGAGCGACGGCAGAAGUGGUGGACUAAUCAUG
RNAcentral lists this ribosomal RNA (210 nucleotides) under Triticum aestivum (bread wheat). Its description in RNAcentral is "partial small subunit ribosomal RNA". Lineage: Eukaryota; Viridiplantae; Streptophyta; Magnoliopsida; Poales; Poaceae. The record is from RNAcentral.